This 276-nucleotide ribosomal RNA is filed under the name Triticum aestivum (bread wheat). RNAcentral describes it as "partial small subunit ribosomal RNA". Lineage: Eukaryota; Viridiplantae; Streptophyta; Magnoliopsida; Poales; Poaceae. The record is from RNAcentral.
UUCGAGUCUGAUAAUUUGGAGAUUGUGAAUCUCUUGAACUCGCGUCACAAUGACCGUGCGGUGGUGGCGCCUAUCUUGUCUGAAAUUAGGGAGCAUGUUCUCUUCUUUAAGUCUUUUGUAAUUCAGCAUGUUGGUAGGUCAGCUAAUGUUUCUGCUCACCUUUGUGCUAAGCAAGCUAGCACUCUACAUGUCACAGAAUGUUGGAUUGACUCUACACCGAGUCUUCUUGUAACCAGCCUCUCAGCUGAUAAUGGUGGAGCUGUUAGUGUUGAAUAA